This 236-nucleotide ribosomal RNA is filed under the name uncultured bacterium. Its description in RNAcentral is "partial 16S ribosomal RNA". It matches the Rfam family "Bacterial small subunit ribosomal RNA", at positions 30 to 267 of the family's 1533-position model. The record is from RNAcentral.
UUGAACGCUGGCGGCAGGCCUAACACAUGCAAGUCGAGCGGAUGAAGGGAGCUUGCUCCUGGAUUCAGCGGCGGACGGGUGAGUAAUGCCUAGGAAUCUGCCUGGUAGUGGGGGAUAACGUCCGGAAACGGGCGCUAAUACCGCAUACGUCCUGAGGGAGAAAGUGGGGGAUCUUCGGACCUCACGCUAUCAGAUGAGCCUAGGUCGGAUUAGCUAGUUGGUGGGGUAAAGGCCUA